GUCUACAGCCACACCAUCCUGACACAUCCGAUCUCAUCUGAGCUUGGAAGCUAAGCAGUAUCUGGCAUGACUAGUACUUGAAUGGGAGAACAACUGCUUACGGCACUCAUGCCACAUUCAGCA
Molecule: ribosomal RNA, 123 nt
Filed under: Octodon degus (degu)
Lineage: Eukaryota; Metazoa; Chordata; Mammalia; Rodentia; Octodontidae
Source: RNAcentral